This 73-nucleotide transfer RNA is filed under the name Ixodes scapularis (black-legged tick). Its description in RNAcentral is "tRNA-Ser". The record is from RNAcentral. Lineage: Eukaryota; Metazoa; Arthropoda; Arachnida; Ixodida; Ixodidae.
UCCUGGUUAGCUCAGUUGGUACAGCGCUCCAAUGGAACUGGAGAAGUCCCUGGUUCAAUACCAGGACCGGGGG